This 340-nucleotide ribosomal RNA is filed under the name uncultured bacterium. RNAcentral's name for it is "bacterial SSU rRNA". It matches the Rfam family "Bacterial small subunit ribosomal RNA", at positions 328 to 668 of the family's 1533-position model. The record is from RNAcentral.
AAAACAAACCUACGGGAGGCAGCAGUAAGGAAUAUUGGUCAAUGGACGCAAGUCUGAACCAGCCAUGCCGCGUGGAGGAUGAAGGUCCUCUGGAUUGUAAACUUCUUUUAUCUGGGAAGAAAUAUAUUUUUCCAAAGUACUUGACGGUACCAGAUGAAUAAGCACCGGCUAACUCCGUGCCAGCAGCCGCGGUAAUACGGAGGGUGCAAGCGUUAUCCGGAUUCACUGGGUUUAAAGGGUGCGUAGGCGGAUUAUUAAGUCCGUGGUGAAAUCUCCGAGCUUAACUCGGAAACUGCCAUGGAUACUAUUAGUCUUGAAUGUUGUGGAGGUUUGCGGAAUA